Molecule: ribosomal RNA, 504 nt
Filed under: uncultured bacterium
Lineage: Bacteria
Description: partial 16S ribosomal RNA
Rfam family: Bacterial small subunit ribosomal RNA
Source: RNAcentral
ACUCAAAUGAAUUGACGGGGGCUCACACAAGCGGUGGAGCAUGUGGCUUAAUUCGAGGCUACGCGAAGAACCUUAUCCUGGGCUUGACAUGUACCGGACAGCGGCGGAAACGUCGUCUCUCCCUUAAACAAGGAGUCGGUGCACAGGUGCUGCAUGGCUGUCGUCAGCUCGUGUCGUGAGAUGUCGGGUUAAGUCCCAUAACGAGCGAAACCCUUACCCUUAGUUGCUACCCUUACGGGAGGACUCUAGGGGGACUGCCGGUGUCAAACCGGAGGAAGGCGGGGAUGACGUCAAGUCCUCAUGGCCUUUAUGCCCAGGGCUGCACACGUGCUACAAUGGUACCUACAGAGGGGUGCAAAGUCGCGAGACCAAGCCGAUCCCAAAAAAGGUGCCCCAGUUCAGAUCGAAGGCUGCAACUCGCCUUCGUGAAGUUGGAAUCGCUAGUAAUCGCGGGUCAGCAACACCGCGGUGAAUGUGUUCCUGAGCCUUGCACACACCGCCCGU